GACUCGUUCAUAUAUAGGGAAGUGAAGGAGUGGCUGUUGGCCAUUGAUAAUUGACACUUCAGACUCGUGAAAUGUUAACCAAUGAGGUGAGUUUCAGGGUGAAUGUCAACCAAUCAGUGGCCGGGUUUGGUUGGCUGCUGGGUAUAAAGGUGACGAUGAGACAAAAUACACUUCAGUGUGUUUUACCUCACUUUUGGUAUACAGUUCCAGCUUCGUCUCUUGGAGUAAAGGUACCCAGCUUCCUUUGGUCCCACGGCCCCCAGCUUAACGUACUCUCGGCCUUCAAGGACACGGCAAACUCUACGCUAUCCUGUGGAAUACCUGGUAAUAUGCUGUGGUCAAACUCUUACUGCUAGUCUUGGCAGAGGCUUCCAGCUAGUUAGUAGUAGACAAGGAAUUGUUAGGUGGGCUCCAGUUCGUUUACAAGCGGCAACGAGCGAGGCACUACCACCUGGAGGUCAUCUUGGUACACCGUCCUCCUAGUCUCACGCUGGAGGGUUCGGGCGACCGCUGCCGUACAACAGGAAAGGCAACAAAGACUGUCUCGGUACUGAACAUUUAUAUCGACGGGAUAAAGUGGCAAGACAUUACGUGGUGUCGUGAGACCAGCCUUAGAUAUUUUUUUUGCCAGAAAAUGGCCUGGUUUCCUGAAUGUUAAGUUGUAAAAUAUUAGAACUUAAACUAGCUCAUAUUAUUCUUGAAUACCUGAACCGGGAGGUCGCUUUAUGCUUGUUCACAAAACUUUCUAAGGACCCAAGUGUCGUUAGUGUAACUUUGUAUUUUAAGAAAUUAACAACUCGACAAAUCUAACUUGUUAAACUAUUAAUUGAUAGACUUUAAUAUCACUGACAUGACAUUGGCACCAUGCACCUGGGGAGGGGGGGAGGGGACAAAUGUGUACCAGUACCCCCCCUCCCCUACAAACCAGUGUAUGGGGAUUCAUUGUAAAACUUGGUUGUGGGCCUCGCUCCCAUAGACACCUCUAGGUUUCAAAGAUGAAUGGCUUUUGUUCAGUUUCUUCUUUAUUUAGCAGUUAAUAUCAAACUUUAACGGCGGCUCAACUCUCCGAUGUCGUAAAAUAAGUUUUACAGGUUUUUGUAUUAUAAACCCAUUCUAAUAUGGUAACUAGAUGAUUUCCUUA
Procambarus clarkii (red swamp crayfish) is the source of this 1141-nucleotide long non-coding RNA. RefSeq lists it as uncharacterized. Lineage: Eukaryota; Metazoa; Arthropoda; Malacostraca; Decapoda; Cambaridae. The record is from RefSeq and is a predicted model, not a curated record.